Molecule: long non-coding RNA, 2242 nt
Filed under: Sorghum bicolor (sorghum)
Lineage: Eukaryota; Viridiplantae; Streptophyta; Magnoliopsida; Poales; Poaceae
Description: long non-coding RNA (SBIC_LNC018008)
Source: RNAcentral
CUGCCACAACAAGUCACACAUCAACAUCUUUGUUACAUUCAUCGCAAACACCAAAGUAAUUGUUCAAGAAUUGACCUUAGUCACAAAGGUAUCUUAGAUAAAAUAAACAGAUAGAUAUUUCACAUCCCUGUCUAAAAGUGACGUUUGUCACCAAACUAAUAGUCCUAACAGACAGUGCUAGCAACUAAUUAUUCUUGGUGCCAGGAGCAAAUAACUGAAGUUGCUGAAUCUCUCCAUGUCCUGCAAAUGCACAACACAUUAGAAACAGCCAUCACUUGUUGAAACAAAUAAAAUUAUCUAUAAAGAACGUUACAUGUGUACUGCUAGAAGAAAUCAAGCAACAACAAUCUUUUCCACUUUAACAUAUAUUUGAGCAUUUAUAGGAAAUACAUUAAUUCACACUGAACAUUCUCACACCAAGAAUAAAGUUUAAAUUCCUCUAGUCAAUACUGAAAACUUAGUACAUAUUGACACAGUCACAACUACAAAUGCAAAUACUGAAUUGCUAAAAAUUGUAAAGCAGAGGAUAGGUGAGCUGAGCUAUUGCCAACAGCCUGCCAACUGCAUCAAUGUGAUUGAACAUGCUUCAGGAAACUACAUGAUGCAAUGGCGUGCUCAGUUAAGAUGCAUUCGUAACUAUAUUAUCUAAACUCUAAAUUAGCAUGCUAAGUGACAUGAUGCAGUAAAGUAUUUUCUAGGCUGCUCACUUGGUAUUCUUGUUGACAGCUUCAGUUGGCAAAGGGGAAGUCUAAGAGCGAGUACCAGCAGCAGCCUCAGAUUAUUAGUAGUUGAUGAUGUGCAGAGAAGCAAAUGAUAAGUUCCUAGACAGUUAUUAUUAGCCUCACAUUGCUCUACUGUCUAGCAUUUUAGUUGCUGCACAGAACAUUGACAAACACUGCUGUUAUCACAGAGCCACUACUGAACAUAUUUUUCGAUACUAAAAACAACUUUGCUGUUUAUGCAUGAAACAAUAUUUCAGAGUGAAGUUUCCUAUUGGCUCUAAAAUAAAAGUCAGGGGUUGUCAUAAGUUAACAACCUAGAGCUGUUGUGAGGAAAGCUCUUCAUUUUUCUCAGACCAUCUCGUGAAAAUCCUUGCAUUAAUCUUUAUAUACUCCUAAUCUUAUUUCUUUUUGAAAUACUAUUAACACUCUCGCUAGGAAGUAGUUGAACAAAUAUUACAAUCUGCAUAAUCUUAGUAUAAUCUGUUUCAAGCCACAUUAAUGACCAUGAAAAUAAUAUGAUUGAUGACCAUGAGUGAUAAAGCAAACAUUGGGUAGUGUUUUCAUGAAUGAAACAAAUGUCACAUGAAAAAUUACUUUGUAUCUGACAGUGUUCUCUGAGGAUUUGGUUUUCUAGAACGCCAUAUCUAUAAAUCGAUAGCCCAACAAGAAAUAGGAAGGCCACACCUUUUAGAAUCCCUGCUAUGAUGGCUUCUUUCUAGCUUUGAUUUCCCUGCAAGCAAUCAUGUAUUGAGAACUCUGAACUAAAAAUAAAAUAGGACUGGACAUAAAUUAAAUCCAAACACAAGCUAAUUUGGAGCAAAACCAAACUCUGAAGCAAAUAAAGGGAUACUAACUUCCCAAAAUAAUACAAAAAAACUCAAAAUUGGAUUUUAUGAAACAUACACAGAUACGAUAAAAGAAAUUUUAGGCAUAUCAAUAAAAAUAUUUGUUUGAGCAAUAUGGUCUUGUUCUGCACAUGCUAAAAUUAGGAACUUUCUCAAGCACCACAUCCUAACAUAUGAAAUUCUAGGCACAUAAAAAGAAAUAUUAAAGUUGGUUGUAGAGGGAUAUUAUGAGUGCACAUCAAUGGAUAAUGUGUGUGAGUUAUCAUGUUUCAUUUUUCAUCUCUAACUGUAGAUUAAGCUUGCUACUACUGUCAAUAUUAAAAAAAAACAGCAGGCCACCUUGUUCUCAUGGCUAUUCAAGAUUACAGAAUUGGUACAGAGAAAGACGAUGAUAUAGCAGUCCGGUGAAGCACCUUAAUGUGGAGAAAGUUGUUUUCCAAUCAGCCAUGUUUUAUGUUUAGAACUCAUUAUGGACAAACAAGAAACAAAGUUUUUUUUCAUCUUCAGACCUUUAGAAAACUUACCAAAAUUCACAUGCAUUUGUGAAUUGAUGGGCUUCAUCAACUCUUCUAUUUGUAAAUAUCCACUCUGACCCAUCCUGCAAUAACACAGAAAGACAAAAAACUAUCACAUUUCUCAAAGACUAAAAAUACUAUUGUUAUCCGCCCUCCUAAC